UGCUUGCCCAUGAAGGAUUAACAUCUG
RNAcentral lists this non-coding RNA (27 nucleotides) under Rattus norvegicus (Norway rat). Lineage: Eukaryota; Metazoa; Chordata; Mammalia; Rodentia; Muridae. The record is from RNAcentral.